Molecule: long non-coding RNA, 2590 nt
Filed under: Nicotiana tabacum (common tobacco)
Lineage: Eukaryota; Viridiplantae; Streptophyta; Magnoliopsida; Solanales; Solanaceae
Description: long non-coding RNA (NTAB_LNC007410)
Source: RNAcentral
UACUUCACUCUCAAAGACCUAAAGCAAUUAGGGUUCCAAUUUUUCCAAUUCUCUCUCCUAAACAGCCGUUUCUUUUCUUCUUUCCCCCCUUUUCACAAAAUGCCAAUGUUUCUCAGUCAUGACAGACCUGCCAUUGCCAUUUUAGAACAAGAAGCUCUACAUCUCAUUUAAUUCUUCUGCAAGAUCAACGUUCAAAAUUCAAACGUCCCUUGGCUCGAUUUCAAGCCUUAAAAUCCCGCCCAAAUUAACCCUAGGAAACCCUAGCUGGUCCUCCUAUAAAUACUGAUGUUCAGGAAUAAUUUCGGAGGGACUUCUGGAACGACGGCUUCUCUGCCUUUUUGAAACAACUUACUCUUAAAAAAAUACUCUAAAAAAUCCUUGGUUGCACCGCCUCUGUUUCUCUUUGCUACAACAGAGGCAUUUUGUUUGCACUUUUCGAAGCUUGUAAAGUUCGUGGUUGCAAGCUCGAGCCCCUGUUCGGAGCCGGAGUCCAGUAGAUCUGCUUGACGCGCGCCCUAGUUCACUGCCCGCAAAAAGGUCAGUGGCUCUGAAAUAAUUCCUUUUCGUACUUUUAUUUAAGGAUCUGCAACGAGUAUUUGUUUUGUUUGAUGGCAUGAGCUAUAGGUUUUGGUUUAUAGAAAUUGUGAUUCAGACAUCCUUUGUGAGUAAAAGUCAUGAAGUUCGUAUGUUUCUUGUUUUAUAAAAUAGGAACCAAAUAAUGCGUAGACUAAUGUACUUAUAAGAAUAGAUUCAUGAGCUGAACACAUUAGUCUUUAUUUUGUAGCUUUUGCUUUAAAUGCCGUAAUCUACCUUCGUUUUUUAUUGUAGUUAAGUCUUAGAAUUAUUUUCUUUCUUACCCAGCAGGAUGCGUUAAGUUAAAAUAUUUUGCUUUCACACUUUUGAGUUUAAAAAUGUAGUUUCUGCACUCUCUUUGUGUUUCAAAAUCAUAUCUAGAAGCCAUGACUGAAGAUCUCUUUAAUAGACGCCAUUAGGUAUCGCACUUAUAAAAGUCACCAUUUUUAAAUGAAUAUUCUGUGUUAUGCACCAGAUUUCUUUGAAGUAUUUAUCCAUUCGACUAACAUUGACUUGGAGCCCAUAGUCAUAGUCUAGUUCACCAUUUUACACGUCUAGAUGCAGUAUAAAAUAAAAGAUGCUCUUUGCUGACACUUAGAAAUUUAUAACCUUUAAGCUUUACUUAAAUUGCAGAAAUCAUAUCUAUUAGGAUUUGAUUACUGCGUACGAAGCUUUCUCGUAGUCUAAGAACCAUGUCAAAAGGUUUAGAUAAUGCAUAAUUAACUUUAAAACAUAUCCCUUCCUUGAUACUUACAUAAAUCAGUAGCUGAGAUUGAGCUCAAAACGAGUUGUGACCUUUCUGUUGGCUACUACUCUAGCGGUUAACCAUAUACUUUGCUUUAAACACCAUGACCUUCCUUUUAAAAGCUUUUGCUUCGUUGGUUAAGUUAGAACAUUUCUUGUUGCUGUAUGUAUUAUAGAUACUCUUUUUCCAUGAGCAAAAUAUGACUGUAAGGUAUAUUAUUUCUCUAGUUUAAGUGCCAUACAAAGCAUGAGGUUAGAAUAUUAACUAUCUUAUUGUUUAGCUGGAUAUCCCGUUAGUUAGCAAGGAGUUCUUUUAGAAACUAUUCUUUAAUGAAAUCUAUGCAUAGACUAUCAUUAAAAUAAUACUAAUGGGAAUCUGUUAGUAUAACUUAAAGAAGAAGCAUUUAAAGAUUGAUUAUUACUUAUCCAUUCGGACCUUAAGAGAAGAGGAGCAUGUUCACAUCACUUUCAGGUGUGGUGCAUGUCCUUAUCUCUGAUUUCUUGAUACUGUUAAAGGGUAAUGUUUUAGAUUAUGGUUGGUAAAAUUAUUUACAAGUUGAUCUAAGAAAUAUUUGAAGUAUUACUCUUUGUUGCAACUAUUCUAUGCGAAUAACUUGCUCUAUUGCAGUUGUGGUACAACUCUUAUCUUAAUACUUGCAUCACCUUUAUGAAUUAUUUCCCUAAUCUCUUACUUCCUUUUUUCUUUGCAUGUCAUGCACACCGGAGAAACAAAAAAGUUUCAAUGCGGCCACCACCACGAUCACCUGGAGUCUAUUAGCAUCAUGUUAUUCUCGGAUUGCUGCAUAUAAAUUGCAGCCAGAUGAAAAUUCAUCUGAACAAUACUAUGUUUUGUUUCGUUAAAUGAUCUGAUCUAUUGUGUAAUCUGGGACCUAUUUAUAAUAUUUGGGAGUCGCCUUAUAAUUGAACUAAUUUGGGAUCACGUAGGAGUUGGAAGAAUUGUGAUUUCACUCAAAAUAUUCAAAGUGGUAUUUGGGCUAGUCUUUGAAUAUUCUUGAAUAAGAUUCUUCUUUUUGAAUUUAUUCCAAGUUUGAGUCUUGAAUCUGUCGAGUUUUUUGGAGUGAGUCAAAUCUGAAUUUGGGUCCAAAUUUUCUUAAGACAGUAAGUAUUUUCAAAAUGCCUUAACAGUUCAAUUUUUAUCAAGUUGAAGGAGAAGUUUAGAAGCAGGAGUUUGAUUACAUAUUUAUCUCACUUUCAUCGUUAAAUCAAUCUUGAGGAAAAAAAAAGAAUCACUUGAGUUUGACUGAUGAAUUUG